UUCGCCCUUCGGUUGAUCCUGCCGGACCCAACUGCUAUCGGGGUGAGAUUAAGCCAUGCGAGUUGUGCGCUUCUUGGCUAUGUUAGAGACGCAGCACACGGCUCAGUAACAUGUGGUUAACCUACCCUCAGGACAGUAACAACCCCGGGAAACUGGGGCUAAUUGCUGAUAGAUGAGGAAGUCUGGAAUGACUCUUCGUUCAAAGGGUAUUGAUGACAUGCCUUUCAGUAUUGCCUGAGGAUGGGACCGCACCCGAUCAGGUUGUUGGUGAGGUAACGGCUCCCCAAGCCUAUAACCGGUACGGGCCUUGAGAGAGGGAGCCCGGAGAUGGGCACUGAGACAAGGGCCCAGGUCCUACGGGGCGCAGCAGGCGCGAAACCUCCGCAAUGCACGAAAGUGUGACGGGGUCACCCCGAGUGCCAUCCGCUGAGGGUGGCUUUUGUUCGGUGUAAUGAGCCGAAAUGAAUAAGGGGAAGGCAAGUCUGGUGUCAGCCGCCGCGGUAAUACCAGCUCCUCGAGU
This 520-nucleotide ribosomal RNA is filed under the name uncultured archaeon. RNAcentral describes it as "bacterial SSU rRNA". It matches the Rfam family "Archaeal small subunit ribosomal RNA", at positions 1 to 489 of the family's 1478-position model. The record is from RNAcentral.